RNAcentral lists this ribosomal RNA (506 nucleotides) under uncultured bacterium. RNAcentral's name for it is "partial 16S ribosomal RNA". It matches the Rfam family "Bacterial small subunit ribosomal RNA", at positions 30 to 523 of the family's 1533-position model. The record is from RNAcentral.
AUUGAACGCUGGCGGCAUGCCUUACACAUGCAAGUCGAACGGCAGCAUGGAAGAGCUUGCUCUUCUGAUGGCGAGUGGCGAACGGGUGAGUAAAGCAUCGGAACGUACCGUGUAGUGGGGGAUAACGUAGCGAAAGUUACGCUAAUACCGCAUACGCACUGAGGUGGAAAGCAGGGGAUCGCAAGACCUUGCGCUAUACGAGCGGCCGAUGUCAGAUUAGCUAGUUGGUAGGGUAAAGGCCUACCAAGGCGACGAUCUGGAGCGGGUCUGAGAGGAUGAUCCGCCACACUGGGACUGAGACACGGCCCAGACUCCUACGGGAGGCAGCAGUGGGGAAUUUUGGACAAUGGGCGAAAGCCUGAUCCAGCCAUGCCGCGUGCAGGAAGAAGGCCUUCGGGUUGUAAACUGCUUUUGUACGGAGCGAAAAGGUCUCCUCUAAUACAGGGGGCUCAUGACGGUACCGUAAGAAUAAGCACCGGCUAACUACGUGCCAGCCGCCGCAGUAA